Molecule: long non-coding RNA, 14146 nt
Filed under: Phaseolus vulgaris (common bean)
Lineage: Eukaryota; Viridiplantae; Streptophyta; Magnoliopsida; Fabales; Fabaceae
Description: long non-coding RNA (PVUL_LNC001920)
Source: RNAcentral
UAUAGUGUUGUUGCAAUUCAUUGACAAUGGGAAUCCAUAUAAUCCCGAGUUUCCAAGGUAUGAGUCAUUUGAAAAAGUCGCAAACUGUUUUCCUUGAGGUAUUUCUCCCACAAGCAGGUUAUUGGAAAGAUUCAGGACUUCAAGAGAGUUCAAAUUGGUUAAUUCUGUUGGAAUCCUACCGAUGAACAUAUUCGAAGAGAGAUCCAAUGAUUCUAAGUUUGUCAAAUAUCCAAUGGAUUUGGGAAUAAGACCACUUAAUCUGUUAUGGGAAAAGUUGAGUCCUCUAAGAGCAUGAAGCUCUCCAAUCACAUCUGGAAUUUGUCCUUCAAAUUUGUUUUGAGAUAAAUCAAUGGUUACAAAGUUUAUUGGAAUUUUAUUGAGUGUCAUACUUAUUGCUUUUGUUGUUACAGUUACAGAUUCAUAUAUAUGCAUAGCUAUAAAUUCAAUCACAAGAAUCGGGGAUGCUUUAACUAACGUAGGUGAUGUGUCCAUGUAUAUCUCGUCCCCUUCAUAUUGAAUGACAUUCUUCAUGGCUUUAAAAUUUUGUAUAUAGGUUUUGGGUAUUGGACCAUUGAAAUAGUUGGAUGAGAUAUCAAAAAUAAUUAUACUUGAAAAUCCAUGCUCCGUCUUUAAAUCGUCAAUGGGAUCGUACAAUUUGUUGGCUCGCAAAACCAAUACUGUCAACAUUGGUAGAGUUUGAAGCCAAUGGGGAAAUUUAUCCUCAAUUUGAUUGUUGCCAAGAUUCAAGAUCUCCAACUCUGUGCAAUUGGACAAAGAUUUUGGCAAAGGACCUUCCAAUUGGUUGUUAUUGAGAUUCAAAAAAGUGAGAUCAGUAUUCAUUGAAAAGGUAGUUGGUAAAGUGCCAUUUAGUUGGUUAUUUUUUAGAUCCAAAAUAAAAAGGGUUUGCAAGUUUACAAGACAUGAUGGAAUGAUGCCUGUCAACUUAUUGUGAGACAAGACAAGAACUUGAAGAUUACUUACAUUACAAAUUGAGGAAGACAUGUCGCCAAUGAGUAAAUUGAAACUAAUAUCAAGGAACUUGAGGUUGUAGUUCCUUGAGAAUUCGUUCAUUGGAGUUUUCAACAAGUUGUGGGAUAGGUUCAAACUUUGUAAUGAAUCAACUUUGUGUAACCACUCGGGCACUGCUCCAUUCAAUUUGUUAUCGGAUAGAUCAAGAUCUAUCAACAUUGGGAUUUUUCCUGAUAAUUUUGGAAAUUUAGUUAAACCUACAGAAGAUAAAUACAAAAGCUCUAAGUUAGGGGCGUUGGUGAAGAUUGGAGAGUUAUGAAGACCACUAAAGUUAUUUGACGAUAGACAUAAUUGAGUAAGGUUUGCAAGGAUGAAGACUGGUUGUGGAAUAUUUCCCUGUAACUUGUUGUAGCACAAAUACAAAGACUCCAAGGAUUGAGCUAAGAUUGAAGGUGUAUGGCCUGUGAAUUGAUUCUUUGAUAGAUCCAGUUCUUGCAAAAAUGGCAAAGAUAAACACCAAGCAGGAAUUGUCCCAUUCAAUAGGUUGUCUUUGAGGGAUAAAAAAGUUAGAUUUGAAAGCCCGGUUACUUUGCUAGGUAGAGGGCCCUCCAAUCUAUUCUCUGAAAGAUCCAAGUGAAGAAGAUGUUGAAGAUUUGAAAGUGAUGAUGGAAUUUGGCCACUGAAUCGAUUGUUUCGAAGAUCCAAAAAUGUUAGAUGUGGAAGGGUUAAGAUUGAGGAUGGGAUUGAAUCGUUGAGAUAGUUAAUUGAGAGAUCGAGGAAAGUAAGAUGUGUGAAGUUGGAUAAAGAGGCAGGGAUUGUCCCCUCCAACAUGUUCCAUGAAAGAUCCAAUAUAGUGAGAGUAGUAGUACUGCAACUCAAGUUCGGAAACUGCUCGAGAGUAUUACGUGACAACCAUAAGUGUUUAAGUUUUGGUAAACAUAAGAUGUCAGUUUUCAAGUUUUCCUGAACUCCGGUGUAUUUAAGACUAAGAUUAACCAAAGAGGUAGAUAGAUUGAGUGGCCUCAUCGAACUAAAAGUCAUAUUUACAUAAUCCAAAAUAAGCUCCUCUAAAAUUGUUGCAUUUUGGAGGAACUUCUUCCAACUGUUUUCUUUCCACGUUAACAUAGUAAAAGAUAGAUCAAGUGAUUCUAAUUUGGAAAGUUGUGAGAUUUGGGAAGGAAUUUCACCUUCAAGGAAAAAAUUUCUAGACAGAUUAAGGUGUGUGAGGCUCACAAACCCACCAAAGAGAGACGACAAUCGAGAGGAGGAAAAGUCAUUUAAAGCAAGAUUAAGUGAUUGAAGAUGAGAAAGACGAAAAAGAGUAGUGUUUGGAUGGAGUUCACCUGAAAGACCACUGCAGGCGAGAUCAAGACCUAUGAUGUUUCCAGAAAUGGGGUGGCAAGUAACCCCAGACCAUGAGCAACAAUCUGUCGCAUUUUCCCAUGUUACGGUCUUUGGAACAACAUUCUCACAAAGAAAAUCAGAAUCAUUAUCACUGAAAGAGGUCUUGAAUUGGAGCAAGGCAGUUCUCUCAUGAAGAUGACAUAAGGAAUGGGAGGAUGAGAAGUGAAAGAGCAACGAAUGGCAACACAGAAAAAGCAACCACCCCACCCAUGACUCCAUUUGAAGUUGUGUUUAAGGAAAAGUGUUCACUUUGAUUUACUUAAAGCAAUGAAAGAUGAAGAUUUAUAGCCAAAAUAAAAUAGGAUAUGAACAUGAACACUCACAUUCUAAUCCUUUCAUUAAUGUUCCGGCAAAAACGGGGCCAUAUGAAUUGAUAUUUCAUCUUCAAAAUGGAAAACACAUUGGACUUGGGUUUACUAUUCCAACUGCAAGCAUUAAAGAGAUCACAUAACAGAUAAAUAUUUUAAAUAAACAAAAUGAGUUUAAUAUCACAUCAUUUUGUAAGAAUUAGCUACAAAAUCACUUAUUUUAUUUUUUUAUAAAAUUAAUAAAAUAAAAACUUUUCAUCAUAAAAUGCAUGAAAAAACAUGGAUAAUAAAAUUUUUAAAAUGAUGAUAAUUGAACGGUGAAAAGUGUAAUUAAGUAAAUAUUGUAUUCUUCCUUGUAAUCUUUAUCGUGAACAAAAUGCUAUUAUUUUUAUCUUUUUAGAUACAUUUUCUAUUUCUUUUUUUACCAUUUUUAAUUUUUGCAUAUUAUUUAUUUUUCAUCUGUUAACCAUAUAAAGAAUACCAUUUAAAAAAAAAAAAUUAAAGAUAUUGAUUUUAUUUUAUCUUCUUAGUAUAGUUUUAUAGGAUAUGUCGUGUGUUUUAGUUGAGUGUGUGGACUCAAACACUUGAAUUUUAAUACAUUGGGCCCUUUUCACUUUUCUGAACCAAAAGCCAAUGACCCCUUUUGUGAUUAAUAACUUUUAUGAAAGAUGAAGCUUCAAGAAUUAAGAGAAGGAAAUUAAUAACUUUUAAUUAGUUAGCAUUUUGUGUUAAUGGUUUCAUUUAUUUCAAAUUAAAAAAUGAAUUAGUUAAGUUGAGUACAUAAGGAACUUUUACUUGGAGAGUUGAAACUGAUGGUAAGAUAGAUAGAAAAUUAAACACUACAUUAGAAGAAGGAGGAGCAAAUAUAUGUCAAAAUAUACAACAACUUUUAAUUUAACCAAUAGUGACAAUUUAAUUCAAUAUUUUUUAGUGCUUAUGAUCUAUCUUUUAUCUUUUUUUAAGACUUUUGUGGGUGAUAUUUUUAUUAAGUUGAUUUUUGUGACUUGACUGAAAUUUUUUUGAAGAACUUCGAAUAACUACAAGACUGAGAUAAAAGAUAAGAACAGAUAUAUUAAAUAAUUUGUAAUAAAAUUUGUGAUACUUGAUUUGUUUUGGAAUUAGAUUGUUUUGAAAUUUUUAAAAUAAGUUUAUUUUGUUUUAAAAAUAUCUUAAUAAUGUAUUUAUAUUAUUAUCGUCUUUACUUGAAAUUUUUCUGAUCGUAUUAGUAGUGUUGAUAUGAACUUACUUUUGUGAGUUUGAAACUAAAGAAUAUAUAAAAUUUAGGAUCUUUAUGAGAUUGAAGAAAAAAAUAAAAUGUAACAUACUAAAUAUUUUUUAAUAUUGUUUGUGAUUAAAACUCAUAUACAGAAUAAAGAAUAUUUUGUACAUAUAUGUGUUUCAAUGUAUACAUAAUUAAUAAGCAUCAAACUCAUUCAAAAAGUCUACUCAUGCAUUCAUAUUCAUAUUGUGUUACACAUUGUACAUAAUAUAAACCUUCAAACAUACAUGCAUUCAAAUUCAUAUUGUGUUACACUUCAUAUUCAAAUUGUUUUUAUAUAUGAUAUAUGAAAUUACAAAUGUUAGUUGCUUAAUUUAAAUGUCUUUUUAUCAUUUUUUACUGAAAGUUAUUAAAACAGGUUUUAUUUAUCAUUCUUUUUAUUGAUAAUUAUUAAGAACAAAUUUUAUUAAAUUACGAGAUUGUACAAAUUAGUGGAUAACUACAAAAUAUUUAUACGUCACUUAAAAGUCAUAUAUUAUAUUUUACAAUUUAUUAGAAAAAUGGCAAUUAGAAACAUCCUACAUUAACAAAACAAUGGGAUUAUGUAUUUAUAGUAUGAAAAUGAUUGGAAUGAAUCAUUUUGUAUAUAAAAUAAUUGAAACCAAUUUCGUAUUAGAGUAUAGAGAAAAAACAUAUUUAACCCUAUAUUAAAGCAUAGGAGUUGGUCGAACCUUUGGUUUGUAUGACGAUGAUUUCUUGAAUUAUUUUUUAGCUCAGAUUGUAUGGGUUGAGUUAGGAUUGUUUAGUAAUUCUAGGCGUCUGGCGGUGUGCGUGUUGAGAUGGAGUGUCUUAGGUAUUUUAUGUUUGUAUAAGGGUUGAAUCACUCCUGAAGUGGUUCACAUUUAUUUAUUUUUUAUUGUCGAUAAAAAAAAGUAUAGGAGUUGGUGAUGUAUUCAAAUAAGACCAUUUUAUACUUUGUAACAACAAAAUCUAUGACGAUAUGCGAAACCGUCAUAUACAAAUACGUUUGUAACUCAUUAUGUACAAUAAAAAUUAUCAUUUUAAACACAAUUUUUGGGAGUGCACACUACUAGAACAUCAUUGAAUAGAAAUCAAUUUUAAAGACAAAAAUAAUUAGUUAUUAUAGUGACUAAAUUAGAAACCAUUUUAGAUACUAAAAAAAUUAUUGGUUUCUAAAUUAGUUUCUACUAUUAAUAAAAUCUAUGACAAUAUGUAAAUACAUCAUUUUAAAUACAAUUUUUUUGUAACGUAUAUACAAAGUAUAUUAUAUUGAAAAAAGUUAUAAUAAGAAAUUUAACAACAAUUUAUCAUUUUUUAUAUUUAAAUUUAAAGUUUAUAUAAUGUAUUAAAUUACAAAUGUUAUAAUUAUUCAAGUAUAAACAGUUUUUAUAUAUUGUAACGAUAAAAUCUAUAACAAUAUACGAAACCAUCGUAUACAAAAACGUUUAUAAAUGAUGUAUACAAUUAAAAUUUAUCUUAAACAGAUUUUUGUAGUAUAUAUGCAAAGUAUACUAUAGUAAAAUGAUUAUAAUAAUAAAUUAAAGGGUAGUUUACCAAUCUUAUGUUAAAAUUUAUUGACUAAAGAUGCAAAACGAGAUGGGUAAUUUAAUUUACCUAUAAAAGUGCAACAAUUUUUUGACUUAACCACAAUAUAUCAAUAUACAAGAGAUUAAGAAACAUAGUUAAUAAAAAUAACUACAUAUUAUUCUUCUGUUAGAUUAUGUGACCAUCACUUGGAUUUUUAAUUUCUAAUAAGAAAAUUCUUCUUCCAUUUUCAUAUGUGUUAAAUAAUUUUAAAUAAAAUAUAACUUUAUACUUUUAAAUAAUUAUGUGUUUUUAUAUCUUUCUUUCACCCGUAAUAUUUGAGAGUAGUUAAUUAUUUAAAAAAGUGUGUGAGGGUUAAUAAGAAGAUUUAUUAUGAAGGUUUGCUAAAGAGUUUAUAAGUCUACGAGUUAAAAUAAGAGUGUCUUUUAUCAUUUCAAUGUCUCAAUGUGUUUUAUAUACUAAAACGUUUAUUUCUAUAAUGAGAAUGUAAUAUUUUUUAGAGAAAAAUUUCUUUGACACAAUAAAUAGUAAAAAAAAUAUAUUUAAUAUUGCUUAUAAUAAUAUAAAUAAUAUUUUAAAUUAAAAAAUAAAAUAAAAUAAAAUAAAAAUAAAUAAAAUAUUAAUUUAUUUUACAUUUGAUAUAUCAUCUCAAUAUUACGACUUGAUUGAAAGGUUAGAUGUGUCACGAGAAAAUGAGUUUAUUCCUUUUGCAAACAAAAUUUGAAGAUGCAAACAAAGGAAAUGUAGUAACAAAAGUAGAACACAUUUAUUUCACAACUAAACAUUGAUCAAACCUCUCAUACAAUAUGAUGUGAUAAGAUUCUUGAUUUACAUUGAAAUUGAACAAAAACAAGUGCAUGGAACAUUCUCCACUAAUUUAUUCUGCUACAAUUCUCAUGACGUCCUUUUCCCCUUUAUAUUAAAACCACCUCACAAGCCAUUCAAGUUUUCCUAUAAUACAAAAGUCUGAGGCCAAUUCCAAAUAUCAUUCCACAUCCAUAUCCUAUAACCACUGGUUCCCAUCCAAAUCCAAAUCUCUCUUCUCCCAAUAAGCUCGGAGAAGAUGGAGGUUUUUGUUCAGUGUUGUUGCAACUCAUUGACAAUGGGAACCCACAUAAUCCCGAGUUUCCUAGGUAGGAGUCAUUUGAAAAAGUCGCAAACUGUUUUCCUUGAGGUAUUUCUCCCACAAGCUGGUUAUUGGAAAGAUUCAGGACUUCAAGAUAGUUCAGAUUGGUUAAUUCUGUUGGAAUCCUACCAGUAAACAUAUUUGAGGAGAGAUCCAUUGAUUCUAAAUUUGUCAAAUAUCCAAUGGAUUUGGGAAUAAGACCACUUAAUCUGUUAUGGGAAAAAUUGAGUCCUCUAAGAGCAUGAAGCUCUCCAAUUACAUAUGGAAUUUGUCCUUGAAAUUUGUUUUGGGAUAAAUCAAUGGUUACAAAGUUUUUCGGAAUUUGUUUCAAUGUCAUACUUAUCGCUUUUGUUGUUACAGUUACAUAUCCAAUUGUACCUCUUUGGGACCCAUUAUAUGGCAUAUAUGUAAUGCCAAUGUAUAGCUCAUCCCCUUCAUAUGAAAUGACAUUCUUCAUGGCUUUAAAAUUUUGUAUAUAGGUUUUUGGUAUUGGACCAUUGAAAUAGUUGGAUGAGAUAUCAAAAAUAACUAUACUUGAAAAUUCAUACUGCGUCUCUAAAUCGUCAAUGGGACCGUACAAUUUGUUGGAUCGCAAAACCAAUACUGUCAACAUUGGUAGAGUUUGAAGCCAAUGGGGAAAUUUAUCCUCAAUUUGAUUGUUGCCAAGAUUCAAGAUCUCCAACUGUGUGCAAUUGGACAAAGAUUUUGGCAAAGGACCUUCCAAUUGGUUGUCAUUAACAUUAAAAUAAGCGAGCUCACUAUUCAUUGAGAAGUUAUUUGGUAAAGUGCCAUUUAGUUUGUUCCUCUGUAGAUCCAAAAUAUAAAGGCCCCACAAGUUUGCAAGGCAUGGUGGAAUGACGCCUGUCAACUUAUUGUGGGACAAGAUGAGAACUUGAAGAUUACUUGCAUUACAAAUUGAGGAAGACAUGUCACCAGUGAGUAAAUUGAAACUAAUAUCAAGGAUAUUGAGGUUGUAGUUCCUUGAGAAUUGGUUUAUUGGAGUUGUCAACAAGUUGUGGGAUAGGCUCAAAAAUUGUAAUGAACCCAUUUCAUGUAACCACUUGGGCAUUGUUCCAUUCAAUUUGUUGUUGGAUAGAUCAAGCUCUAUCAAAAUUGGGAUUUUUCCUAGUAAUUUUGGAAAUUCAGUUAAACCCACAGAAGAUAAAUACAAUCUCUCUAAGAGAGGAGCAUUGGUGAAAAUUGUAUAGUUAUGAAGACCAUUGAAGUUGUUUGAUGAUAGACAUAAGUGAGUUAGGUUUACAAGGGUGAAGACUGAUUGUGGAAUAUUGCCAUGUAGCUUGUUGUAGCACAAAUAUAGAGACUUCAAGGAUUGAGAUGAGAUUGAAGGUAUAUGGCCUGUGAACUGAUUCUCUGAUAGAUCCAAUUCUUGCAAAAAUGGCAAAGAUAAACACCAAGUAGGAAUUGUCCCAUUUAGUAAGUUGUCUGUGAAGAAUAAAAAAGUUAGAUUUGAAAGCCCUGUUAUUUUGUUUGGUAGAGGGCCCUCCAAUCUAUUCUCUGAAAGAUCCAAGUGAAGAAGAUGUUGAAGAUUUGAAAGUGAGGAUGGAAUUUGGCCACUGAAUCGAUUGUAUCCAAGAUCCAAAAAUGUAAGAUGUGGAAGGGUUAAGAUUGAGGAUGGGAUUGAACCCUUGAGAUAGUUACUUGAGAGAUCGAGGAACGUAAUAUGUGUGAAGUUGGAGAAAGAGGCAGGGAUUGUCCCCUCCAACAUGUUCCUUGAAAGAUCCAACAUAGUGAGAGAAGCAGCACUGCAACUCAAGUUAGGAAACUGCUCAAGACUAUUAUCUGACAACCAUAAGUGUUUAAGUUUUGGUAAACAUAAGAUGUCAGUUUUCAAGUUUUCCUGAACUCCGGUGUAUUUAAGACUAAGAUUAACCAAAGAGGUAGAUAGAUUGAGUGACCUCAUCGAACUAAAAGUCAUAUUUACACCAUCCAAAAUAAGCUCCGCUAAAACUGUUGCAUUUUGAAGGAACUUCUUCCAACUGUUUUCUUUCCACAUUAACCUAGUAAAAGAGAGAUCAAGUGAUUCCAAUUUGGAAAGUUGUGAGAUUUGGGAGGGAAUUUCACUUCGAAAUUCAUAGUUAGAUAUAUUGAGGUGUGUGAGGUUCACAUACCCAACAGAAGGAAAUGAUAAUUGAGAGGAGUAAAAGUAAUUGAAAGUAAGAUUAAGUGAUUGAAGAUGAGAAAGACGGAAAAGAGAAGUGUUUGGAUGGAUUUCACCUGAAAGACGAUUGCAAGCGAGGUCAAGGCCUAUGACGUGACCAGAGAUGGGAUGGCAAAGAACCCCAGACCAUGAACAACAAUCUGUUCCAUUUUCCCAGGUUGACAUCUUUGGAACAAAAUUAUCACAAUCAGAAUAAUAAUAGUCAUGAACAUAAGCAAGAGAGUUCUUGAAUUGGAGCAACGCAAUUUUGUCGUGAAGAUGACAUAAGGAAUGAGAGAAUGAGAAGAGAAAGAGAAACCAAUGGGAACAUAAAAGAAGAAACCAACCCACCCAUGACUCCAUUUGAAAGUGUAUUUAAUGAAAAGUGUUAAGUGUGAUUUAAUUAAAGGAAUGAAAGAUGAAGAUUUAUAGCCAAAAUAAAAUAGGAUAUGAAGAUGAACACGGCAUCACUCAGCUUAUAAUAUUUUCAUUAAUGUUUCAAUUUCCAAAUUGCCUUGAAAGACGGGGCAUAUGGGUUGAUUUUCAUCUUCAAAUAAUGUAUUAUACUUUUCCACCAAAAUGGAAUUGACUUUAAGUCAAUGCCCCAAAAAUUGGGACUUGGGUUUACUAUUCUUCGUGUUUCGUGUUUCUUGGGUUUAACGGUAAAAAGUGGAAUUAAGUAAAUAUUGUAUUCUUCCUUACAAUCUUUAUCGUGAACAAAAUGCUAUUAUUUUUAUCUUUUAGAUACAUUUUCUAUUUCUUUUUGUAGCAUUUUUUAAUUUUUUUCAUAUUUUUUUCAUCUGCUAACCAUAUAAAGAAUACCAUUUUAAAACAAAAUUAAAGAUAUUGAUUUUAUUUUAUUUUCUUAGUAUAGUUUUCUAGGUUAUAAUGUGUAUUUUAGUUGAGUGUGUAGACUCAAACGCUUUAAUUUUAAUUCAUACAUCACAAUGAAUUUUUAAUGAGACCUUUAAUUAGUUAGCCUUUUGUGUUAAUGGUUUCAUUUAUCUGAAAAUUUAAAAAAUGAAUUAGUUAAAAAUAACACUACAUAUUAAAGAACUUUUACUUGGAGAGUUGAAAUUGAUGGUAUGAUAGAUAGAAAAAUAAACACUACAUUAGAAAACUUAUAUUUAAAAAUAUACAACAACUUUUAAUUUAACCAAUAGUGACAAUUUAAUUCAAUAUUUUUUAGUGCUUAUGAUCUAUCUUUUAUCUUUCUAUUCAAGAAUUUCAAGUUUCAGACUGAAUUGCAGGUAAAUGUUUAGUAUCUUUGGAAGGCUGAAAUAAAUGUUAAGAGUUAAAGUACUAACUAUUUUUUAAAAUAGCUUGUGAUUCUUAUAAUUUUUUUUUAUAAAUUUGAUGAUUAUGAAUUUUUUAAUAUAGGUUUAUUUUAUUUUAAAUAUAUAAGUAAUGUAUUUAUAUUAAAAUUUUGUGGUGAUAUUUAUAUUAACAUGUUUUUGUUAGUUUAAGACUAAAAUAAAUGUAAGAGUUUUGGUCUUCUUACCAACUAAAAAAGUAUGAAUAAACGUACUAACAAUUUUUUAUUUCUUUCAUGAUUUCGGAAUUGGAUGGUUUUUUUUUUAAUAUAUGUUUAUUUUGUUUUUAAAAAUAUUUCAAUAAUGUAUAUACAUUAUUGUUGUCUUUAUUAAGACUUUUGUGGAUGAUAUUAAUUUGUUGUUGUGAGUUUGAAACUAAAGAAUAUAUAAAUAUCUUUCAAUAUUGUUUGUGAUUAAAACUCAUACAAAACAAAUAAAAUUUUGUAUAAAUUUAUGUAAAUGUAUACAUAAUUAGUAAUCAUUAAACUCAUUCAAAAAGUCUACUGAUACAUUCACAUUGUAGACAAUAUAAACCUUCAAACAUACAUGCUAAUAUCAUUAUAACAUAAUAUAAAAUAUUUGUUGCCUCUAUUUGGACUUUUGUGGUAGUGUUUAUCCUGACCUACAUGUAUGAGUUGUUUGUGAUUUUUUGCAUUUUUUUAAAAUUCAUGAUUCUUUUAGUUUUUAAUAUAGAUUUAUUUAUUUUAUUUACAAUAUAUUUGCCUUUACUUGAAUUUUUGUGUUAUCAUUGAUUAUGUUAACAAGCUUUAUGAAUUUGAGACUAAAACAAAUGUUAAGAAAUUAGGGUUUUAGUAAAACUGAAGCAUAAGAUAAAAAAAACUAACAAACUAAUUGUUUUUUAAUACUGUUUGUAACAGCGUAAAAAGAUAAAAGCAGAGCCACACCCCUCUCCCCACACAGUGCCUUUUAUUUUCUUUUUCUUUUUCUCUCUUCAUAUUCUUUUCUCUUCCUCUUUUUUAAUUUUCUCUCCCAAUAUUCAUCUAUUUUAGAAUCUAAUCGGACCACGUUGUAGCUGACGAGUUAAGGAACAUUUCUACCCUAUCAGAUUUUCAAACAGAGUAAGUUCAUUUUUGCUCUAAAGUUCCUUUGUUCUUUAUUUUUCCUUAAGAUUUAGUCAUCAAUCUUGGUGGGGUCAGUUGAGAAGUUUAAUCCUCUCAACUUAUUCUACUAUAUACUGAAUUUUUGUUCUGUUUGGAUAACUUGCAUUAGGCCCGUAAAUCUUGAAGUUUAUCGACGGUGGGAAAUAAAAUUCUAAAAGUUGCUUGAGGUAAGGGAAGCUAAAUUUAAUUUUUAAUAGCACCCUAGGAUAGAAGAUAUGAAUGCGAAAAGGACGUGGUCCCAAUAUUCAAUUUUUCUUGCAGGGAUGUUGUGUGUUAUAUAUAUUGGGUUGUUUGUUUAUAUAUUAUUUAAAUUUGUGGAAAUAUUAGGUUUUGAUGAUUUAGUAUUAAAGUGUUAUUUUUUUUAUGUCAAAUAGACUUUUGAAUAUUGUGGAUUACUUUUGAAAUGAUAUUGUAUGACGGAAUGGUAUGGAAUUGAAUUCAUACAUUUGGGAUAAUGUAUGGACUGAUGUUUGUUGUGUAUUAAGUAUUGAUGCCUAUGUGGUAACAGAGAUCUCCGAGCUUCACUGAUGAUCUAAGUCACAUAGAUUAAGACAUCAGGUGGUGAGAAGCUGAUGGGGGAGUUCAUGCACACCGUGACAUAUGAGAUGUACGACUUUGGUUGUAUUGAACUUACCCUGAUCUUUUCUGUUGGAUUCGCUGAUAAUCUUUGGAUCAGGUGUUAGUCUCUGGUAGGACUGACUUAAUACGGAUCUUCCGGAAGACGUUGUUUGUUGAAUAUUCUGGAUGUGUAGAUCCAUGUGAGAUCUAUGUGAUUGUUUUAUGUUGGAAUUUGAAGAAGAUUGAAUAAUUGAGAAAUUGACCAUGUAAUUUGAUUUUCUCUUUUAAUUUAAUUUCAUAUAUUAUAAAAUUUUAUUUUCACUAGCUUACCCUUGCUUUUUGUGUUGUGUUUAAACUGCGAUGACUGUACUAUGUACACGAGCAGAUGACCAUACAGGUGCAGGAAAGUCUUAGAGGUUUCAGAGUUUUAUUUUUAGCUAUGAAUAUGUAAAUAUUUGUAUUUCUAUAAAUCCUAAUAAUGUAUUAGGAAUGUUUUGAAAAACUUCAAAUUUGUAUAGAAAUACGUAGAACUUGUAUUGUAAUAGUUAGAUAUUAUUUUCUGGGGUGUUACACUGUUUAUGUGUUUCUUCCGUUCUUUCAAAUUUGGAUCAUUCUUGAUUUUUUAAUAUAUAUUUAUUUUAUUUUAAAAAUAUCUGAUUAAUGUAUUUAUAUUAUUUUUGUCAUUUUAGGACUUUUGUGUCCAACAUAGGAAUUGAGUUGGAGUCGGUGCCGACAAAAAUGAGAAACAUGCCAGAUAAAUAUUUUAAAUAAACAAAAUGAGUUUAAUAUGACAUCAUUUUGCAGUAAUUAGCUACAAAAUCACUUAUUUUAUCUGUUUAUAAAUAAAAAAAUAAAAAAAUUUCAUGAUAAAAUGCAUGAAUACAUGGAUGAUAAAAUUUGUCAAAUGAUGAUAAUUUAACGGUAAAAUGUGUAAUUUAGUAAAUAUGUUAUUCUUUCUUAUAAUCUUUAUCGUCAACAAAAUGUUAUUAUUUUUAUCUUUUCAAAUACUUUUUCUAUUCUUUUUAGCAUUUUUAAUUUUUUAAUAUUAUUUAUUUAUUUGUCAUCUGUUAAUCAAAUAAAUACUACUAUAGUUAAAAACAAAUAUAGAUAUUGAUUUGAUUAUAAAUUGUUUAAGAAUUAAAAGGUAUUUACCAAACUUGUUGAAGAGAAUCAACUUAAUUAUAAGUACUUAUGUACGAGCUGACAAUAAAAAUAAAUAAAUAAAUAUAUUUACUACAACAUUAUAUUGCCAAUUUGUCUUGUUUUUUUUUAACUUGUACAAUACAUACGUUUAUAACUUGGAGGAUGAAGUAGAUGUAAGAGUUUAGGAUGUUUAUAAAAAUUAAGCAAAAGCAUAAAAAUCUAGAUUUUUAUUGUGAUGUUUAUAUUAACUUUAUCAUGAUAUGUUAAUAAUAUAGUUAUACAUUAUAAUGGUGACUCCAUUAUAAUCACCUCAUAACACCAUUUAAUCUUUUAAGAUAUUUUUAUAACCUUCAGGUUUAGUUCAUCUAUACCAGAAUAUCUAUCAUUCAUUUUCAUUCAAACUUGUAAUAUGUAUAAUAAAAUGUUUGUUUCUUUGGAUAAGAAUUCAAAGUGAAAAAUCAAUAAAUAACUUGAGACAGAAAUUGUGAAUAACGUUGUUUUUUCAUUUGUUAUGCUUUAAACAAUAAAAAGAGUUAUAAUAUAUUUUAGAUAAAUUAAUGUUAAAAAUUUGUAAUUUCUUUUAGAUUUGAUAUGUACUAUCAUUUUAAUAUUACGCUUUGAUUGUUAGGUUAAAUAUGUCAAAAGAAAGUGAGUUUAUUUCUUUCACAAACAAAAUUUGAAGAUGCAGACAAAGGAAAUGUGGCAACAAAAGUAGAACACAUUUAUUUCACAAGUAAACAUUGAUCAAAUCUCUCAUACAAUAUGAUGUGAUAAGAUUCUUGAUUUACAUUGAAAUUAAACAAAAACAAGUGCAUAGAACAUUCUCCACUUAUUUAUUUUGCUACAAUUCUCAUGACUUCUUUUUCCCCAUUAUAUUAAGACCACCUCACAAGCCAUUCAAGCUUUCCUAUAAUACAAAAGUCUGAGGCCAAUUCCAAAUAUCAUUCCACAUCCAUAUCCUAUAACCACUGGUUCCCAUCCAAAUCCAAAUCUCUCUUCUCCCAAUAAGCUCGGAGAAGAUGGAGGGUUUUGUUCAGUGUUGUUGCAAUUCAUUGACAAUGGAAACCCACAUAAUCCCGAGUUUCCUAGGUAGGAGUCAUUUGAAAAAGUCGCAAACUGUUUUCCUUUAGGUAUUUCUCCCACAAGCUGGUUAUUGGAAAGAUUCAAGACUGCUAGAAAGUUCAUAUUGGUUAAUUCUGUUGGAAUCCUACCAGUGAACAUAUUUGAAGAGAGAUCCAAUGAUUCUAAGUUUGUCAAAUAU